AAUAGAUACCCGGGUAGUCCACGCCCUAAACGAUGUCAACUAGCUGUUGGGGCCUUCGGGCCUUGGUAGCGCAGCUAACGCGUGAAGUUGACCGCCUGGGGAGUACGGUCGCAAGAUUAAAACUCAAAGGAAUUGACGGGGACCCGCACAAGCGGUGGAUGAUGUGGAUUAAUUCGAUGCAACGCGAAAAACCUUACCUACCCUUGACAUGUCUGGAAUGCCGAAGAGAUUUGGCAGUGCUCGCAAGAGAACCGGAACACAGGUGCUGCAUGGCUGUCGUCAGCUCGUGUCGUGAGAUGUUGGGUUAAGUCCCGCAACGAGCGCAACCCUUGUCAUUAGUUGCUACGAAAGGGCACUCUAAUGAGACUGCCGGUGACAAACCGGAGGAAGGUGGGGAUGACGUCAAGUCCUCAUGGCCCUUAUGGGUAGGGCUUCACACGUCAUACAAUGGUCGGGACAGAGGGUCGCCAACCCGGCGAGGGGGAGCCAAUCCCAGAAACCCGAUCGUAGUCCGGAUCGCAGUCUGCAA
RNAcentral lists this ribosomal RNA (529 nucleotides) under uncultured bacterium. RNAcentral's name for it is "bacterial SSU rRNA". It matches the Rfam family "Bacterial small subunit ribosomal RNA", at positions 777 to 1310 of the family's 1533-position model. The record is from RNAcentral.